CGGUCGGCAGUACACCCAGGCGUUGCCGCGCAGCCCCGCUGCGAGCUGAACCUGCCC
Molecule: regulatory RNA element, 57 nt
Organism: Burkholderiales bacterium JOSHI_001
Lineage: Bacteria; Pseudomonadati; Pseudomonadota; Betaproteobacteria; Burkholderiales
Rfam family: COG3860 RNA
Source: Rfam